GAGGGUAUAGCUCAAGUGAUAGAGCGCAUGUUUAGCAUUCACGAGGUCCACGCAUGAGGUCCUGGGUUCAAUCCCCAGUACCCCCU
This 86-nucleotide transfer RNA is filed under the name Camelus bactrianus (Bactrian camel). It matches the Rfam family "tRNA". From Rfam's summary of the family: Transfer RNA (tRNA) molecules are approximately 80 nucleotides in length. Their secondary structure includes four short double-helical elements and three loops (D, anti-codon, and T loops). Further hydrogen bonds mediate the characteristic L-shaped molecular structure. tRNAs have two regions of fundamental functional importance: the anti-codon, which is responsible for specific mRNA codon recognition, and the 3' end, to which the tRNAs corresponding amino acid is attached (by aminoacyl-tRNA synthetases). tRNAs cope with the degeneracy of the genetic code in two manners: having more than one tRNA (with a specific anti-codon) for a particular amino acid; and 'wobble' base-pairing, i.e. permitting non-standard base-pairing at the 3rd anti-codon position. The record is from Rfam by way of RNAcentral. RNAcentral also lists the same sequence under 1 other name. Lineage: Eukaryota; Metazoa; Chordata; Mammalia; Artiodactyla; Camelidae.